RNAcentral lists this unclassified non-coding RNA (1568 nucleotides) under Hevea brasiliensis (rubber tree). The record is from RNAcentral. Lineage: Eukaryota; Viridiplantae; Streptophyta; Magnoliopsida; Malpighiales; Euphorbiaceae.
UGAACCCUAAGGUACAUGUAUGUCAUCACAUAACAUUAUGCAUAACUACAAUAUUCACAAAGUCAAAGGUACAAAGCUCUCGUAACAUUAUCGAGGGGCAAUUUGUGCACUCUUAAGAAGCAUAUGCUCAAAAUCAAAACAAAGGCAGAUGCCUAUAGUCCAUCCUUUCAAAGUGAUACUGGUUGAUCCAAAGCUUAUGAAUGACUGACUGGUAUCUUAUCUGCAGAAGCAAUGCUGGCUCAUAACCUUCUCCUCAGCUUUCAAGUAUGAGUUCAUCCAACUUCCUCGCGUUCCCCCGGAAAUGCAUCGACAACGCUAUCCAAACAGCAUUAGUUCUAUAAUCAAAAUGAGUUCAUCUCCAGACAGUAAGUCCUUCUUUUGACCAACAUCCUAGCAGCUGUUCCAUAAGGCUCCUUGAAUGCAGCUCCCACCCAAUUCCCAUCUGCCCCAACUACCUCUUUCUUGGGCUGUUCACUCGGCCUAAUUGCCACCAAAGUGGCCCCUUUGAGCACUGUUCCAUCAGGUAAUUCCAAAUGUGCGGCAUACCACAACCGCAUAUUCAACGCCGGAACCAAAGUCCUUUUGGAGGCCGAUGAAGCUGAGAGAGGCUUCACCCUCAGCUCCUCCAGUUGAUCUUUGUUCAUACACAACACUCCUUGCUCAUCUGCAUCUGUCAAAACCAAACUAUCCAGAGUUUUAUGCUCCGCAAUUAUAGGCUGCAGCAGAUAGUGCCUUGCGGAAGCUGCAAUUAACGAACUAAUCGUCCACACCACCCUCAGCUUCAAACCCCCGUUGGUGUAAAACGAAUCGGGUAUGCUCCCAUUAUCAUUUUCCCCAUUUCCAUCCGUGUUUGGAAGACUACAACCACUGGUACUAGUUACAGGUUGAAUCACUGAAGAUGCACCAAGUAUAAUACAAUUAUCGAGGGUCGAUCCAAAAUCAGCUCUCCAUUUCAGCAACACCCCCUCAUCUAUCCCGAGCUCACCACUAGGCAAUUCGAUUCUGAGAAGCUUAAUCUCGUUAAAAUUCUUCAGAACUUGAGUAGGGGAAUGAUGGGUCACAGAGUUCUUCUCAAAAUCAUCACCGUCAACGACAGCGGCUGAAGAAGAGGCAGCACGUCGAGGUGAAAUGGAGAUGAAUUGGGUUAUAGAUUGAAAGGGUUUGAGUAAACCAGAGAAGACCAAACGAAAAAGGGAAGAGAUGGGGUGCCUGGACUUAUCAGAAGAGUAACCAGAAGAAGAAGAAGAAGACGGAGGAGAAGACUCAUCAUCGGAGAUAACACAAUCCACGCGAACGAGAACGUUGUCCACUUCAGGAACUAGUGAAUUGAACCUUCUAGAAACCACAGAACAACGACCCAAAGCCUUAACAUCGCCGAUCUUGUUGAAGAUGAAUAGAAGAAUUGAGUCUGGUAAUCGAUCGAAGUGGUCCAUGGGUUCGGGGUAAAUCAUGUUUCCGGUCAGAUCUGCAAACUCACCGUCGGGAUCUAAGGUAGAAGAGAAAGAAGAUGAGAAGCAAAAAUGCGGUGCUUGUGUAUACCACUCAUAUCCUUACAGUCUGUGUAGUCG